UACCUGGUUCAAGAAUAAACUCUCCAUCAGUAGAAACAUUUGUGUUAUUUGGUUUAUACAGUGGAGUAUUUGGGGUAUGUUUCGGUGCUGUUGCUAGCGUUCCUCUGAAUAUCGAUGACGAUGUUUGAAAAUCUCUAAUCUUUUCGUGUCCUGAGUUACCAUUUUUACCCGGACAAUGGUAAAGCUUGAUGGGAGCCAAUUUGGGGGCUGCUGUUGCUUCUUUUACCAAAUUUGGUGCCUCCAGAGUCUCCAAUGUAGACAAUGUUCUCACUGUUGAUGAUCAGGAGAUAACAAUUACCGAGUUGUCUUAAUUCACCGUCCGUAUCCAUCAGCGGUUCAUCGUCUUUGUACCAGGUGACAUUUGGCUCCGGUGUCCCAGUUAUCUCCACUUCCAUCAUUACACGUUCACCUGCCUUCGCUAUUUGCGCUUGUAAUCUUUUACCAAAUACUGGUGGGAAGAUGGUCUCUGAAAAUUACUCAUCGUUAGUCGCAGAAUCAAUAUUUGUUUCUUUCAGUCAAUAUUUUUUUUAUGGAUUAAAGCUGUGCAGGUGUAUCUUCCAGCAUCCUUCACAUUCACGUUUCUCAAUUCCAAUCGGACGUGAUUGUGUUGGAAAGUCGUUUUUACAUUGUCCUCUACAUCCUGGCCGUUCUUACUCCACGUUAUUUUCGGUUGGGGAAAGCCUUCGGCUGGGGAGAAUGGAGAAGACCCUCAGGAAGGCAGAAGAAAAUGAGGGGAAGGCAAAGGUAGAAAGUGCAAAUAAAUAAUAAUAAAGGGAAAGAGGUCUAAACAAAUGUAUGAAUAGAAUAAACACGUGAUAAUAAAUAUACCAAAUGUAAGUGGAUGAACUAUAAAGAUGAAGAGGAGAAACAGACGAAUGGGCAGGAGUCGAUGAAAACAAAUAAAAUAUUUGUAACAUCAACGAAAUAAAAUUAAUUGAAUUGAAUAAUUAUUCUGUUCAGAAGGAUUGAAACAUGUUAAAAAUUUUGUUGACUCAUUUACCAUCAAUGACACCUUCUAGGAUGACGUUACUGCCCUGAUCAACAAUCAUUCCAGUAAUUGGUGAUAUAAAUCUUGGGACUGUACUCUUGCGCGUCUGUUUUUGGAUUUUUGGAGUGAUGUCGCUCGUUAUUCUGAUCUU
Molecule: long non-coding RNA, 1139 nt
Organism: Diachasmimorpha longicaudata
Lineage: Eukaryota; Metazoa; Arthropoda; Insecta; Hymenoptera; Braconidae
Exons: 4
Source: RefSeq, a predicted model, not a curated record